UUCCUUCUUUUCCAUAAAACCUUCGUAAGGUUAAGUUGUAUUUUCAUUGCGCUCCGCAGGAAAAUUUUAUAAGUCCUUGAAAAAUGAGUGAAACUCUGCAAUUGCGCGGUACCCUUGUUGGCCACACCGGCUGGGUAACACAAAUCGCCACCAACCCAAAGGAUCCCGACACCAUCAUCUCGGCUUCUCGUGAUAAGACCCUUAUCGUCUGGAAAUUGACCCGCGAUGAGGACACCAACUACGGUUUCCCACAAAAGCGUUUGUACGGACACUCGCACUUCAUCAGCGAUGUUGUGCUCUCAUCCGAUGGUAACUACGCUCUGUCUGGCUCAUGGGACAAGACUUUGCGUUUGUGGGAUUUGGCUGCUGGCAAGACCACCCGUCGUUUUGAAGAUCACACCAAGGUGGGGCGAAAUGUCACAAUUUUAAGUCACAACUUUUGUGUAGCAUAGUAGUUGAUAGGGCUUAACUUUUUAUGGAAAAAAAUUCUAAAAUUGAAAAUGCACUAAGUGCAGGCAAAAUUGCUAGGAGUAUAGGUGGUGCUUAUUUAGGGCCUUGUGCAAACAAUUUGACAAAGUUUGAGGUUAGAUCAGCUAGUCUAGCAAAGUAAUUUGAUAGGUCAAGCAUCACCUAAAUAUGUAUAAAAAUACGUGCCUAUGCGAGGCAGAAUUCUGGUUGAGUGUCGUGGAGCACCUUCUCGGAUAAUCUUCACCGCAACAGCAAGGCGGUAAAUUGAUGUGCUCUCCGUAGCUUUCUCCGCUGACAAUCGUCAAAUUGUCUCCGGCUCUCGGGACAAGACCAUCAAGUUGUGGAACACUUUGGCCGAG
Molecule: unclassified non-coding RNA, 827 nt
Filed under: Bactrocera tryoni
Lineage: Eukaryota; Metazoa; Arthropoda; Insecta; Diptera; Tephritidae
Description: guanine nucleotide-binding protein subunit beta-like protein, transcript variant X1
Source: RNAcentral